UUUAUUAUGUUCUGUUGUAUAAUACUAUGCAAUGUCCUUUAUGGUAAUUUUGUCAUACAAAAGUACUUUCUCAGUUUGUUUACCAAACACAAAAUAAAGUACCACAGCACUUUACGAAUGUAGUUACCAAACAGCAAACAGCUUUUUAUAACAGCUCUACUUCAGACAGCUCUACUUCCAACAGCUCUACUUCUAACAGCUCUACUGCCAACAGCUCCCCCAAAC
RNAcentral lists this long non-coding RNA (225 nucleotides) under Phoenix dactylifera (date palm). RNAcentral's name for it is "long non-coding RNA (PDAC_LNC004131)". The record is from RNAcentral. Lineage: Eukaryota; Viridiplantae; Streptophyta; Magnoliopsida; Arecales; Arecaceae.